This 460-nucleotide ribosomal RNA is filed under the name Vibrio sp. EF1C-CB45. RNAcentral's name for it is "bacterial SSU rRNA". It matches the Rfam family "Bacterial small subunit ribosomal RNA", at positions 1 to 453 of the family's 1533-position model. Lineage: Bacteria; Pseudomonadati; Pseudomonadota; Gammaproteobacteria; Vibrionales; Vibrionaceae. The record is from RNAcentral.
UAGAGUUUGAUCCUGGCUCAGAUUGAACGCUGGCGGCAGGCCUAACACAUGCAAGUCGAGCGGAAACGAUUUAACUGAACCUUCGGGGAACGUUAACGGCGUCGAGCGGCGGACGGGUGAGUAAUGCCUGGGAAAUUGCCCUGAUGUGGGGGAUAACCAUUGGAAACGAUGGCUAAUACCGCAUAAUAGCUUCGGCUCAAAGAGGGGGACCUUCGGGCCUCUCGCGUCAGGAUAUGCCCAGGUGGGAUUAGCUAGUUGGUGAGGUAAGGGCUCACCAAGGCGACGAUCCCUAGCUGGUCUGAGAGGAUGAUCAGCCACACUGGAACUGAGACACGGUCCAGACUCCUACGGGAGGCAGCAGUGGGGAAUAUUGCACAAUGGGCGCAAGCCUGAUGCAGCCAUGCCGCGUGUAUGAAGAAGGCCUUCGGGUUGUAAAGUACUUUCAGCAGUGAGGAAGGUU